RNAcentral lists this ribosomal RNA (468 nucleotides) under uncultured bacterium. RNAcentral describes it as "partial 16S ribosomal RNA". It matches the Rfam family "Bacterial small subunit ribosomal RNA", at positions 28 to 507 of the family's 1533-position model. The record is from RNAcentral.
GACGAACGCUGGCGGCGUGCUUAACACAUGCAAGUCGAACGGAAAGGCCCUGCUUUUGUGGGGUGCUCGAGUGGCGAACGGGUGAGUAACACGUGAGUAACCUGCCCUUGACUUUGGGAUAACUUCAGGAAACUGGGGCUAAUACCGGAUAGGAGCUCCUGCUGCAUGGUGGGGGUUGGAAAGUUUCGGCGGUUGGGGAUGGACUCGCGGCUUAUCAGCUUGUUGGUGGGGUAGUGGCUUACCAAGGCUUUGACGGGUAGCCGGCCUGAGAGGGUGACCGGCCACAUUGGGACUGAGAUACGGCCCAGACUCCUACGGGAGGCAGCAGUGGGGAAUAUUGCACAAUGGGCGGAAGCCUGAUGCAGCAACGCCGCGUGCGGGAUGACGGCCUUCGGGUUGUAAACCGCUUUCGCCUGUGACGGAGCGUGAGUGACGGUAAUGGGUAAAGAAGCACCGGCUAACUACGUG